Pelobates cultripes (western spadefoot toad) is the source of this 291-nucleotide non-coding RNA. Lineage: Eukaryota; Metazoa; Chordata; Amphibia; Anura; Pelobatidae. The record is from the annotation of a GenBank genome assembly.
UGAGCACUUUAUUGUUUAGUUUUUGCUGUUCUGAUUCUAAAAGAGACAGCUCUGAUGUAUGGGAUCAGAUAUAUUCCAACACUGACCACUGAAAGGACCCACAGCACAGAGGAACAAUAUGAAGCAGGGAGACUGAGAACAGAGUGUUAAGAAUGUUCAGAUGUCUCUUUCUAUCUCUAUCUCAGUAGCUCCGGGAUUAUCUGUACUGACAAACAUCAUCCGCACACCGAAGACAUUACUGCGCCAAUCAUAAAACGCAAUGGAAAAUGCGUGAGCUUUGUUCCCUCGCAU